AAGUGGGAUGACGUCAAGUCAGCAUGGCCUUUAUAUCCUGGGCUACACACACGCUACAAUGGGAAGGGACAAUAGGUUGCGAAGCCGCGAGGCGGAGCCAAUCCAGCAAAACUUCCCUCAGUUCAGAUUGCAGGCUGCAACUCGCCUGCAUGAAGUUGGAGUUGCUAGUAAACGCAGGUCAGCCAUACUGCGUUGAAUACGUUCCCGGGGCUU
This 213-nucleotide ribosomal RNA is filed under the name uncultured Anaerolineaceae bacterium. Its description in RNAcentral is "partial 16S ribosomal RNA". It matches the Rfam family "Bacterial small subunit ribosomal RNA", at positions 1171 to 1382 of the family's 1533-position model. Lineage: Bacteria; Bacillati; Chloroflexota; Anaerolineae; Anaerolineales; Anaerolineaceae. The record is from RNAcentral.